This 1275-nucleotide ribosomal RNA is filed under the name Larimichthys crocea (large yellow croaker). RNAcentral's name for it is "partial 16S ribosomal RNA". It matches the Rfam family "Bacterial large subunit ribosomal RNA", at positions 496 to 2488 of the family's 2925-position model. Lineage: Eukaryota; Metazoa; Chordata; Actinopteri; Sciaenidae. The record is from RNAcentral.
AAGUACCGCAAGGGAACGCUGAAAGAGAAAUGAAACAACCCAGUAAAGCCCAAAAAAGCAGAGAUCUAAACUCGUACCUUUUGCAUCAUGAUUUAGCUAGAAAACCUCAAGCAAAGAGCACUUUAGUUUGAUUCCCCGAAACUACGUGAGCUACUCCAAGACAGCCUAACAACUAGGGCAAACCCGUCUCUGUGGCAAAAGAGUGGGAAGAUCUUUGAGUAGAGGUGACAGACCUAUCGAACCUAGUUAUAGCUGGUUGCCUGAGAAAUGAAUAGAAGUUCAGCCUCUCGGAUUCUCCCCUCACUCCACCCACCCCCUCCGACAACUAAAAGAAACCGAAAGAGUUAGUCGAAGGGGGUACAGCCCCUUUGACACAAGAUACAACUUUCCCAGAAGGGUAAAGAUCAUAUCCAGCACCAAGGUAAAAUGUUUAGGUGGGCCCAAAAGCAGCCACCCCAUAGAAUGCGUUAAAGCUCAGACAUGACUACCACCCCCAAUCCUGACAAUCUUAUCUUAACCCCCUAACCCUACCAGGCCAUUCCAUGCAGACAUGGAAGUGACCAUGCUAAUAUGAGUAAUAAGAGAGUAUAAACCUCUCUCCUUGCACAAGUGUAACUCGGAACGGACCACCCACCGAACAUUAACGACCCCAAACAAAGAGGGCUUUGAACAACAGACCCGUCAACUAGAAAAACACUCAAUAAACUAAUCGUUAAACCCACACUGGUGUGCCUUCAAGGAAAGACUAAAAGAAAGAGAAGGAACUCGGCAAACACAUGAAGCCUCGCCUGUUUACCAAAAACAUCGCCUCUUGCAAAAUUAAUGAAUAAGAGGUCCUGCCUGCCCUGUGACCAUGAGUUCAACGGCCGCGGUAUUUUGACCGUGCAAAGGUAGCGCAAUCACUUGUCUUUUAAAUAAAGACCCGUAUGAAUGGCAAGACGAGGGCUUAGCUGUCUCCUUUUUCAGGUCAAUGAAAUUGAUCUUUCCGUGCAGAAGCGGGAAUAUUUUCAUAAGACGAGAAGACCCUAUGAAGCUUUAGACACCAAGACAGAUCACGUCAAGGCCCCCUAAUAAAGGACUAAAACUAACUGAGCCCUGUCCUAAUGUCUUUGGUUGGGGCGACCACGGGGAACUACAAAACCCCCGCGUGGAACGAAAGCACCACCCCGCUUUUACAACUAAGAGCCUCUGCUCUAAUAAACAGAAUAUCUGACCAACAAGAUCCGGCAACGCCGAUCAACGAACCGAGUUACUCUAGGGAUAACAGCGCAAUCC